Molecule: ribosomal RNA, 253 nt
Filed under: uncultured bacterium
Lineage: Bacteria
Description: partial 16S ribosomal RNA
Rfam family: Bacterial small subunit ribosomal RNA
Source: RNAcentral
UACGUAGGGGGCAAGCGUUGUCCGGAAUCAUUGGGCGUAAAGAGCGUGUAGGCGGUCCGGUAAGUCGGCUGUGAAAGUCCAGGGCUCAACCCUGGGAUGCCGGUCGAUACUGCCGGACUAGAGUUCGGAAGAGGCGAGUGGAAUUCCUGGUGUAGCAGUGAAAUGCGUAGAUAUCAGGUGGAACACCGAUGGCGAAGGCAGGUCUCUGGGCUGACACUGACGCUCAUGCACGAAAGCGUGGGGAGCAAACAGG